ACGGGUGAGUAACACGUGAGCAACCUGCCCUGGACUCUGGGAUAAGCGCUGGAAACGGCGUCUAAUACUGGAUAUGAGCCUCUAUCGCAUGGUGGGGGUUGGAAAGAUUUUUUGGUCUGGGAUGGGCUCGCGGCCUAUCAGCUUGUUGGUGAGGUAAUGGCUCACCAAGGCGUCGACGGGUAGCCGGCCUGAGAGGGUGACCGGCCACACUGGGACUGAGACACGGCCCAGACUCCUACGGGAGGCAGCAGUGGGGAAUAUUGCACAAUGGGCGGAAGCCUGAUGCAGCAACGCCGCGUGAGGGAUGACGGCCUUCGGGUUGUAAACCUCUUUUAGCAAGGAAGAAGCGAAAGUGACGGUACUUGCAGAAAAAGCGCCGGCUAACUACGUGCCAGCAGCCGCGGUAAUACGUAGGGCGCAAGCGUUAUCCGGAAUUAUUGGGCGUAAAGAGCUCGUAGGCGGUUUGUCGCGUCUGCUGUGAAAUCCCGAGGCUCAACCUCGGGCCUGCAGUGGGUACGGGCAGACUAGAGUGCGGUAGGGGAGAUUGGAAUUCCUGGUGUAGCGGUGGAAUGCGCAGAUAUCAGGAGGAACACCGAUGGCGAAGGCAGAUCUCUGGGCCGUAACUGACGCUGAGGAGCGAAAGGGUGGGGAGCAAACAGGCUUAGAUACCCUGGUAGU
Molecule: ribosomal RNA, 678 nt
Filed under: Microbacterium aurantiacum
Lineage: Bacteria; Bacillati; Actinomycetota; Actinomycetes; Micrococcales; Microbacteriaceae
Description: partial 16S ribosomal RNA
Rfam family: Bacterial small subunit ribosomal RNA
Source: RNAcentral